GUGGGGCCAGGUGGCUGUGGGCACAGCUGGGGUGGACACAGCAGCCAUGCAGAGCAGGCUUCUGACCCCUGUGUCGCCCUCUUCUCCAG
This 89-nucleotide microRNA precursor is filed under the name Callithrix jacchus (white-tufted-ear marmoset). RNAcentral's name for it is "mir-1227 microRNA precursor family". It matches the Rfam family "mir-1227 microRNA precursor family". Lineage: Eukaryota; Metazoa; Chordata; Mammalia; Primates; Cebidae. The record is from Rfam by way of RNAcentral.